This 447-nucleotide ribosomal RNA is filed under the name uncultured Anaerolineaceae bacterium. RNAcentral's name for it is "bacterial SSU rRNA". It matches the Rfam family "Bacterial small subunit ribosomal RNA", at positions 920 to 1382 of the family's 1533-position model. Lineage: Bacteria; Bacillati; Chloroflexota; Anaerolineae; Anaerolineales; Anaerolineaceae. The record is from RNAcentral.
CCCGCACAAGCAGCGGAGCGUGUGGUUUAAUUCGUUGCUACACGAAGAACCUUACCUGGGUUUGACAUAUAGGUUGUAGGGAACUGAAAGGGACCGACCCUUCGGGGAGCCUAUACAGGUGUUGCAUGGCUGUCGUCAGCUCGUGUCGUGAGAUGUUCGGUUAAGUCCGCUAACGAGCGCAACCCUCGUCGUAUGUUAUAUGUGUCAUACGAGACUGCCGGUAAAAGCCGGAGGAAGGUGAGGAUGAUGUCAAGUCAGCAUGACCUUUAUAUCCAGGGCUACACACACGCUACAAUGGUCUGUACAAUGGGUAGCCAAGCCGCGAGGCGGAGCCAAUCCUGAAGGCAGGCCUCAGUUCAGAUUGCAGUCUGCAACUCGACUGCAUGAAGCCGGAGUUGCUAGUAACCGCAGGUCAGCAAUACUGCGGUGAAUACGUUCCCGGGUCUU